This 253-nucleotide ribosomal RNA is filed under the name uncultured bacterium. RNAcentral's name for it is "partial 16S ribosomal RNA". It matches the Rfam family "Bacterial small subunit ribosomal RNA", at positions 524 to 776 of the family's 1533-position model. The record is from RNAcentral.
UACGUAGGGUGCGAGCGUUAUUCGGAAUUACUGGGCGUAAAGCGUGCGCAGGCGGUUUUGUAAGCCCGCUGUGAAAGCCCCGGGCUCAACCUGGGAAUGGCAUUUGGGACUGCAAGGCUGGAGUUUGGCAGAGGAGACUGGAAUUCCUGGUGUAGCAGUGAAAUGCGUAGAUAUCAGGAGGAACACCGAUGGCGAAGGCAGGUCUCUGGGCUGAAACUGACGCUCAAGCACGAAAGCGUGGGGAGCAAACAGG